Non-coding RNA from Nomascus leucogenys (northern white-cheeked gibbon), 148 nucleotides. It matches the Rfam family "Metazoan signal recognition particle RNA". Rfam says of the family: The signal recognition particle (SRP) is a universally conserved ribonucleoprotein. It is involved in the co-translational targeting of proteins to membranes. The eukaryotic SRP consists of a 300-nucleotide 7S RNA and six proteins: SRPs 72, 68, 54, 19, 14, and 9. Lineage: Eukaryota; Metazoa; Chordata; Mammalia; Primates; Hylobatidae. The record is from Rfam.
GCCAGGCAUGGUGGCAUGUGCCUAUAGUCCCAGCUACUUGGGAGGCUGAGGUGGGAGGAUCACUUGAGCCCAGGAGUACAAGGCUGCAGUGAGCCAUGAUUGUGCCACUGCACUCUAGCCUGGGCAACAGAGUGAGACCCUAACUCUA